AUUGAACGCUAGCGGCAGGCCUAACACAUGCAAGUCGAACGAGCGGCGGACGGGUGAGUAAUGUCUGGGAAACUGCCUGAUGGAGGGGGAUAACUACUGGAAACGGUAGCUAAUACCGCAUACCAUCGGAUGUGCCCAGAUGGGAGUAGCUAGUAGGUGGGGUAAAGGCUCACCUAGGCGACGAUCCCUAGCUGGUCUGAGAGGAUGACCAGCCACACUGGAACUGGGGCACGGUGCAGACUCCUAGGGGAGGCAGGAGUGGGGAAUAUUGCACAAUGGGCGCAAUCCUGAUGCAGCCAUGGGGCGUGUAGGAAGAAGGCCUUCGGGUUGUAAAGUACUUUCAGCGGGGAGGCGUUACCCGCAGAAGAAGCACCGGCUAACUCCGAGCCAGCAGCCGCGGUAAUUC
This 406-nucleotide ribosomal RNA is filed under the name uncultured bacterium. RNAcentral describes it as "partial 16S ribosomal RNA". It matches the Rfam family "Bacterial small subunit ribosomal RNA", at positions 29 to 526 of the family's 1533-position model. The record is from RNAcentral.